Molecule: long non-coding RNA, 387 nt
Organism: Dermacentor albipictus
Lineage: Eukaryota; Metazoa; Arthropoda; Arachnida; Ixodida; Ixodidae
Source: RefSeq, a predicted model, not a curated record
CGUCACGCUCCAGACAGUUGGAAGUAUCUGCCAUUCAAGGGUAUAAAAUGGUCACCGUUGCGUUCUGUAAGCAUAGCUCUAACCGAAGUCACCGAAUUCAUUUCAAGAAUGAGUUUCCACAAGGCUUUGCGAUCGGCCAUUUAUGCAGCUGCAAUACUUCACACGAUCAUUAUUUGCUUCAGUGAAUCGUCCAUUUUCCCUGAGGUUCUGGAUCCCAAGUGUAAUAACGAACGGUGUGGCCUUUACAACAAUUUCACAUGUUCUAACAGCACUUGCAAUUGCACCUACACGGAUAACCCAAAUAACGGCUCGUGCAUUGACGUGUCGGAUUACGAUUACGAAUGAAGCUACGCCGCAGCAUUUUUAUUGAAAUAAAGCUGUGAAUGU